ACGAAGGGUGCAAGCGUUAAUCGGAAUUACUGGGCGUAAAGCGUGCGUAGAUGGUUCAUUAAGUCGGAUGUGAGAGCCCCGGGCUCAACCUGGGAACUGCAUCCGAUACUGGUGGACUAGAGUGCGGUAGAGGAUGGCGGAAUUCCCGGUGUAGCGGUGAAAUGCGUAGAGAUCGGGAGGAACAUCCGUGGCGAAGGCGGCCAUCUGGACCAGCACUGACGUUGAGGCACGAAAGCGUGGGGAGCAAACAGGA
RNAcentral lists this ribosomal RNA (253 nucleotides) under uncultured prokaryote. RNAcentral's name for it is "partial 16S ribosomal RNA". It matches the Rfam family "Bacterial small subunit ribosomal RNA", at positions 525 to 777 of the family's 1533-position model. The record is from RNAcentral.